GAUACGGACAGGUAAUGAGGCCAGACAGAGACACAGAGACCAUGGUUUAAAAACCAAGAGCUUCCUUUGUUGAUCUAGAGAGAGCUCUUUACAGUACAUUAGAAUUUUAUAUAAUAACAACCGACAGUUCUGGUUCUAUACCUUAAUAUUAGGAGUUUCCAUAGAAGUUCAAAGUUUAAGUUUGUUUUUCAGAUGCUGAUUCAUGACGGAUCAGGAGAAACAGGUAAACCUUAUAUUGUCCUUGGGUGGGCAGAUGAUGCUGGAGGCACUCAGGAAAAGAAGAUGCACAGAAGCAGAGAACAGACUGUACAGUCAGCAAGGGCAAUGGUCUGUUGACAGCAAGCUGUUGGUUUCACUGCCAGAAAAGAAUGGAGACAAAAGCAGCGAUAGGCGAGAAAGGAUAAUCAAGAACAAAGAGAAAAUUUAGAAGCUACAGCUGGUUG
RNAcentral lists this long non-coding RNA (443 nucleotides) under Androctonus crassicauda. The record is from RNAcentral. Lineage: Eukaryota; Metazoa; Arthropoda; Arachnida; Scorpiones; Buthidae.